This 374-nucleotide ribosomal RNA is filed under the name uncultured Trebouxiophyceae. Its description in RNAcentral is "bacterial SSU rRNA". It matches the Rfam family "Bacterial small subunit ribosomal RNA", at positions 356 to 744 of the family's 1533-position model. The record is from RNAcentral. Lineage: Eukaryota; Viridiplantae; Chlorophyta; Trebouxiophyceae.
GGGGAAUUUUCCGCAAUGGGCUAACGCCUGACGGAGCAAUGCCGCGUGGAGGAGGAAGGCCUGUGGGUCGUAAACUCCUUUUCUCAGAGAAGAAGAUCUGACGGUAUCUGAGGAAUAAGCAUCGGCUAACUCUGUGCCAGCAGCCGCGGUAAUACAGGGGAUGCAAGCGUUAUCCGGAAUUAUUGGGCGUAAAGCGUCCUGAGGUGGCUUACCCAGUCGACUGUGAAAGCUCAAGGCUCAACCUUGAAACGGCAGUCGAAACUUGUAAGCUUGAGUACGGUAGAGGCAGAGGGAAUUCCCGGAGGAGAGGUGAAAUUCGUAGAUAUCGGGAGGAAGGCCAAAGGCGAAAGCACUCUGCUGGGCCGAUUACUGAC